Long non-coding RNA from Cynocephalus volans (Philippine flying lemur), 505 nucleotides. RefSeq lists it as uncharacterized. The transcript has 3 exons. Lineage: Eukaryota; Metazoa; Chordata; Mammalia; Dermoptera; Cynocephalidae. The record is from RefSeq and is a predicted model, not a curated record.
UUCUUCUUCUUUCUGUCCGUUCUUCCUUUUCUCCCGCCUCUUUCCCUUUCUCUUCUUCCUCAAUUUCUCCUUCUUUCUGUAAAGGUUUAUUCAACGCCUGCUCACUGCUUCAAGAGCUGAGAAUGUAGUGAAUAGACAAAAAUACCUGCCCUCAUGGAGCUUACAUUCUAGUCGGGUAAAACACAAUGUCCCUGACCCUGUAAUUCUGUGAUCUCCUAUUGUAAUUGGGACCAACUUCUCUCUAGACUUGCUGGGCAGCUAAGGCACUGGCUCUUGCUUUUGCCUCUUUCCUGAGCUGGAUCUCUUGUUUCCUGGGUUCUAUGAGUUCCUUUUGCAAGGUUUUCUCCCUUGCACUCCACUCACUUCCUGAGAAAGGGGCAUGGAAGAGAAAUUUCUGAUACCUUAUGUAUCUGGAAAGGUGGCUGGCCCAUACAGGGAUUGAACACUGGACCUUGGUGUUAUUAGCACCACACUCUAACCAGCUGAGCUAACCGGCAAGCCCAUU